This 462-nucleotide ribosomal RNA is filed under the name uncultured soil bacterium. RNAcentral describes it as "bacterial SSU rRNA". It matches the Rfam family "Bacterial small subunit ribosomal RNA", at positions 26 to 486 of the family's 1533-position model. The record is from RNAcentral.
AGAAUCAACGCUGGCGGCGUGCCUCAGACAUGCAAGUCGAACGAUUAAACUUUCCUUCGGGAAAGAUAUAAAGUGGCGCACGGGUGAGUAACACGUAAGUAAUCUACCUUUGAGUGGGGAAUAACCCGGGGAAACCCGAGCUAAUACCGCAUAAUGCAGCGGCAUCGCAAGAUGACAGUUGUUAAAGGAGCAAUCCGCUUAAAGAGGAGCUUGCGGCAGAUUAGCUAGUUGGUAAGGUAAUGGCUUACCAAGGCUACGAUCUGUAACCGGUCUAAGAGGACGGUCGGUCACACUGACACUGAAUAACGGGUCAGACUCUACGGGAGGCAGCGAGUCGGGAAUUUUGGGCAAUGGGCGAAAGCUGACCAGCAACGCCGCGGUGAAGGAUGAAGUAUUCGGUAUAGUAAACUUACGAAAACGAAGUAAGGAAAGAAAUAAAGUAGAACGGUUAACUUAGUUUAA